UUAGGCAGCCAGUUCACAAAAUAAAGUCUGCCAAAAGGAAUCGACUUCCAUCAAAAGGGAAAUGUCUUACGACCAGCUAGCCGGACAAGAUCACCGAUUCUUCAGGCUUCACCUCUUAAACUCCGGGGCUUCCAAUCCUUCACCCACACCAUUUAAGGAUCUGAAAAUGGUUAUACAAUAAUCAGUGAGACAAUGUCUCAACGAGUUCUACCCCCCCCCCCCCCCAAAAGACUCAAUUAGAAGACCAAUAUGCCACAAGGGUCGUCUAUGCACAACACAAGUCAAAGGACUUACCUUAGCCUUAGAUUCCACUUGCAAUUCAAUACAAUUCAAUAGGCACCCAAUCAAUCACCAUAGAUCGAAACAUCGAUCAAUCAAUCUAGUCAAUUACAUGUUAUCACGACCUUCCCCUGGUCAUUUUAAUAAAUAUCAUACAUUCUCUAAGAUGGAAUAUCUGGUCAUCAAGACCACGUGCAUUCUUCAAGAUAACAUACCGAGUCACCAAGCCCACGUGCCUUCUCCAAGAUGACAUACCUAAUCACCGAGACCAUGUGCAUUCUCAAAGAUGAUGUACCUAGUCGCCAGGCCCACGUGCCUUCUCCAAGGUGAUGUAUCAAGUCACUGAGUCAACAACUCACAAUGUCUUUCUUCGAGACGACAUGCUUAGUCAUCGAGCCCACAUAAUAUAAUGCAUUUCUCCAAGACGACAUCCUUAGUCAUUGAGCCAGCGUGAUAUAUUGCAUAAUCAAUUUCUCAUUUUUAUCAUGCCCGGUAAAGAUACACGUGUGUAGGUACACGUCCAGCCUUAGCCAAAAUAGUAUAAUUUCAUUUCCACAAAUCUCACUAUUUUCUGUAGUCCACUCAAAAAUAAUUAAUUUAGGAAUAAAUCCUAAAAAUCAUAAUUAAAUCAAUUCAACGCAAAUUAAAACUCAAAUAAAUAAAUAGACCGUAUCGUGGUAAUCAGCAUAAAAUUCCGGUCACCGACUAUCCCGGUUGAAUUUCCAGAAAAUAAAUAAUUAAUUAAUUAAUUACACAAAUUAAUUAUUAAAUAGCAAUAAAUCCAACUUAGGCCCGUAAUGCCUAAUUGGUCACCGAAACGGACCCGGAAAAAUUCCGAGGUUCGUUCAAUAAAUACUAGAACCUAUCUACUCGCUAAUGGCUACAUCUAACCACCUAACAUGCAUUGGCAAAUCACUAAUUUAAUUACUCUAAUCUAAUCUAACCAAAUAAUCAUGCUUAAAUAAAUCUAAUCAAUUCCUAAGCAUCAUUAGUCUACUAAGCAAGGAUUAGUGAGUUAAACUCACUUGUUUAUCAAACUGUUCGGUUCAAUUUGACAGGAACGCAACGGGAGCCGACUUUCUCCAAAGCGGCCUAGGUUUCGAGGCCCGGAACCAUCUCAAAACGAGCCAAACAACACCUCAGAAAACCACUAAUUUUCUAUUAUGUUCUUGCUAAAACAGAAGGGAACAAAGCCGGUUUAGAGCGGGAAUUGAUCGGGAAAGGGUGAAAGAGUCAAACCAGGCUUUGGAGAAGGCUUACCGGCGGAGGAACGGCGAAGGACAGCUCCGGUUGAGCUUCACACGACCCAGGGCAGCAGCUGGGAUGUGCGCUGGAUAGGGAAACACGCCUGGAAGGCAAGCUGGACGCGGCUGCGGGAACGGGAUCGCGCGGGUGGCGUGCGAUGGCGCGAUCGGCGAUGGGCGGCUCCUGCUAUCUCCGGCAAUGCUGCUAGCUUCUUGCUAGCUGCCGGUGGUUGAAUAGGCUGGGAGGAGAGGGAAUGGCUGCCAGUUGGCUUGAGGUGCAAGGAGACGGGACAAGGGCUCCACCAAUGUCCAAAUUUUCCAUUCCUUGGUCUCCCUUGACCAUUCUCAGCCACCAGUCCUUC
Molecule: long non-coding RNA, 1885 nt
Filed under: Eucalyptus grandis
Lineage: Eukaryota; Viridiplantae; Streptophyta; Magnoliopsida; Myrtales; Myrtaceae
Description: long non-coding RNA (EGRA_LNC000979)
Source: RNAcentral